UAGGGAAUAUUGGACAAUGGGGGCAACCCUGAUCCAGCCAUGCCGCGUGAGUGAAGAAGGCCCUCGGGUUGUAAAGCUCUUUUGUCCGGAAAGAAAAGCAUUCGGUGAAUACCCGGAUGUUCUGACGGUACCGGAAGAAUAAGCACCGGCUAACUUCGUGCCAGCAGCCGCGGUAAUACGAAGGGUGCAAGCGUUACUCGGAAUUAUUGGGCGUAAAGCGUGCGUAGGUGGUUGUUUAAGUCUGAUGUGAAAGCCCUGGGCUCAACCUGGGAAUGGCAUUGGAAACUGGGCAGCUAGAGUGCGGUAGAGGGUAGUGGAAUUCCCGGUGUAGCAGUGAAAUGCGUAGAGAUCGGGAGGAACAUCUGUGGCGAAGGCGACUGCCUGGACCAGCACUGACACUGAGGCACGAAAGCGUGGGGAGCAAACA
RNAcentral lists this ribosomal RNA (427 nucleotides) under uncultured bacterium. RNAcentral's name for it is "bacterial SSU rRNA". It matches the Rfam family "Bacterial small subunit ribosomal RNA", at positions 355 to 774 of the family's 1533-position model. The record is from RNAcentral.